Folsomia candida is the source of this 863-nucleotide RNA transcript. RefSeq lists it as uncharacterized. Lineage: Eukaryota; Metazoa; Arthropoda; Collembola; Entomobryomorpha; Isotomidae. The record is from RefSeq and is a predicted model, not a curated record. The transcript has 3 exons.
UAUUUAACUUUGCAUCUCAUUAACAAAUUCAAAAUCAUACAUAAUGAAUUAUUUCGCCAAAUUUGUCGUCAUCUGCGCCAUAAUUGGGACCGCGGCGGCGGGGGCAACAUCUUCAAUCAGUCUCAGUUCACCUAUCGCCCUUGAGGAACAAUCGACCAACGGCGUUGUCACAAAUAUUACGCGAUGUGGUGACUGAAAAGUCUGCAAAUUUUUGGUGGGAACGGAACACCAAUCCAACUCAGAGUUUCGGAAUGCGAAGGAAGAUGCUCUCUCGUACCCGGUCGCGUUUACAAUAUCGAGUAUGACUUCAUCCCGAGCUCCGCCGCCCCCGGGCUUAGUUUGGCUUGUGACCUCGUCUUUCUGGGCACCCCGCACCGACUUUUCGACACCGCACUUCCCAACUCUGGCGUUCUACCGGGUCAAAUGUACACCGUCCGCUUUUCCGUCGUACCCAAUGAUAUCUUAUCCGGUCGAACGGUUAACCUUCGUGCCAUAAUUUAUCAUACGGAUAAUCGAUUAUUGGAAAUUUGUGUAGAGUCGGAAGUUGAUAUUUUGCCACUUCCGUUUUAAGUUUGUUAAAUUCAAGUAAAUUUGUAAGAACAAAUACAUUUUGUAAUUCUAAUUUUCAAAUUAUUCAUGAUCGGAAAAUAUAAAUUAUUGCAAAACUUGUAAAGUAAUUAGACAAUUAAGUUACAUACUAAAGUAAUACGCACACAUAACUAUUUUUACUGCCCAAUCUAAAUAUAUGUCUAAAAACGUUCUUUAGUAAAUUUUGAUGUUUAAUCGUCAAUCAUUUUUUAAAUUUUAAUCUUUUAACCAAGUGAAUUUUUUGUACACUUUUUGAGCGCUUUUAUGUGUCAUAA